Molecule: ribosomal RNA, 557 nt
Filed under: Escherichia coli
Lineage: Bacteria; Pseudomonadati; Pseudomonadota; Gammaproteobacteria; Enterobacterales; Enterobacteriaceae
Description: partial 23S ribosomal RNA
Rfam family: Bacterial large subunit ribosomal RNA
Source: RNAcentral
CCGUACACAAAAAUACACAUACUGUGAGCUCGAUGAGUAGGGCGGGACACGUGGUAUCCUGUCUGAAUAUGGGGGGACCAUCCUCCAAGGCUAAAUACUCCUGACUGACCGAUAGUGAACCAGUACCGUGAGGGAAAGGCGAAAAGAACCCCGGCGAGGGGAGUGAAAAAGAACCUGAAACCGUGUACGUACAAGCAGUGGGAGCACGCUUAGGCGUGUGACUGCGUACCUUUUGUAUAAUGGGUCAGCGACUUAUAUUCUGUAGCAAGGUUAACCGAAUAGGGGAGCCGAAGGGAAACCGAGUCUUAACUGGGCGUUAAGUUGCAGGGUAUAGACCCGAAACCCGGUGAUCUAGCCAUGGGCAGGUUGAAGGUUGGGUAACACUAACUGGAGGACCGAACCGACUAAUGUUGAAAAAUUAGCGGAUGACUUGUGGCUGGGGGUGAAAGGCCAAUCAAACCGGGAGAUAGCUGGUUCUCCCCGAAAGCUAUUUAGGUAGCGCCUCGUGAAUUCAUCUCCGGGGGUAGAGCACUGUUUCGGCAAGGGGGUCAUCCCGA